AGAGUUUGAUUAUGGCUCAGGAUGAACGCUAGCGAUAGGCCUAACACAUGCAAGUCGAGGGGCAGCACAUGAAGUAGCAAUACGGAUGGUGGCGACCGGCGCACGGGUGAGUAACGCGUAUGCAACCUGCCUACAACGGGGGAAUAACCCGUUGAAAGACGGACUAAUACCCCAUAACACAGGGAUCCCGCAUGGGAAUAUUUGUUAAAGAUUUAUCGGUUGUAGAUGGGCAUGCGUUCCAUUAGCUUGUUGGUGAGGUAACGGCUCACCAAGGCAACGAUGGAUAGGGGAACUGAGAGGUUUAUCCCCCACACUGGUACUGAGACACGGACCAGACUCCUACGGGAGGCAGCAGUGAGGAAUAUUGGUCAAUGGACGCAAGUCUGAACCAGCCACGUCGCGUGAAGGAAGACGGCCCUACGGGUUGUAAACUUCUUUUGUAAGGGAAUAAAGUGUAGUACGUGUACUAUUUUGCAUGUACCUUACGAAUAAGGAUCGGCUAACUCCGUGCCAGCAGCCGCGGUAAUACGGAGGAUCCGAGCGUUAUCCGGAUUUAUUGGGUUUAAAGGGUGCGCAGGCGGGAGAUUAAGUCGGCGGUGAAAUUUUGCAGCUCAACUGUAAAAGUGCCUUCGAAACUGGUUUCCUUGAGUGUGGAUGAAGUAGGCGGAAUUUGUGGUGUAGCGGUGAAAUGCAUAGAUAUCACGAGGAACUCCGAUUGCGCAGGCAGCUUACUAAACCAUAACUGACGCUCAGGCACGAAAGGCGUGGGGAUCAAACAGGAUUAGAUACCCUGGUAGUC
Molecule: ribosomal RNA, 799 nt
Filed under: uncultured Proteiniphilum sp.
Lineage: Bacteria; Pseudomonadati; Bacteroidota; Bacteroidia; Bacteroidales; Dysgonomonadaceae
Description: bacterial SSU rRNA
Rfam family: Bacterial small subunit ribosomal RNA
Source: RNAcentral